Molecule: long non-coding RNA, 2980 nt
Organism: Mytilus californianus (California mussel)
Lineage: Eukaryota; Metazoa; Mollusca; Bivalvia; Mytilida; Mytilidae
Exons: 5
Source: RefSeq, a predicted model, not a curated record
ACUUAUUUAAAUAGAUUUUUUAAAAUGUUGUGUUCAUGUUACUUAAAAAAUUUAUAUAUAAAUAGCAUACACAUCAAAUACCACCUGAUUCAAAUGGAGAUCUUUUCAAAAUUUCUGAUGUGUGUGAAGGAUCGCGAAUCACUGUUGGUGUAGAACAUAUCAAAAUAGUACAUUUCAAAAUGAUUAGCAGAAGAUAUGUGUGUUUGUUUCUUCUAAGGAGAACUUAUCUCUGGAAAUUUAUUUCUCAAUAGAAUGAAUCGUUGAAAGUAUAGGAUUGAUAAAAAAAAUAACAGCAUGGUAUCAAACGAAGAAGAAAACUUUCUUCGUAUUGUUUAUCUGAACUACAGAGUAGCCACUGUAGCACUCACAAGAUUUUUUGAUAAACUACAUCCACAUUUAUCAGCUGAUUUACAUAUCCCAGGAAACAAGGCUAUAUUGCAGCAGCUGUAUAAUCCCCUUCCUUGAAGAAAACGAGUUAUCUAUACAGGACAAUGGAAUAUUCUGUAUCCUCCACCAGGGGCACCAGCAGUAACCUCGGCAGAUCUAGACUUGACAUUAAUUGUUUGUCUACUUCGUAACUUACCUCCAGUGGUGGUAGCUCCUGUGAAUGGAUUUGACCUGCUGCCUAAUCCUAAUGAAAUAAGUGACGGGGCAAACAUUGCACGCUUAAAAUUUUAUAAAAACUUUCUGGUGUCGCAUUCGGAGGAUGGUACACUAUCCAAUGUAGACUAUGUGGGUAUCUGGAAUACAUUAGAGCAGGCUAUUAACGGUCUUGACAAUUCACAACCUACUGCUGCAAGUUUAAAGGAUGCAAAAACAAAGAUACUGGAUAACUCAAUGGCCCAAAUGUUGUCAACCCAAAUACAACUCAACACAAAGGUUUCUAGUCUUCAAGAUGAGUUAGAACAGAUGACUGAAAAUAUAGAAGAAAAAAUAAAAAUAACAGAAAGUAAUUUAGGAAAGGAGAUUAAAGAAAGUAAUGAAAACAUACAUAUUUUAUAUGAACGACUGAAUACAAAGGCAGAACAAAGGGCUGAAAGAGAUUUAACAGAAUUUCAGAAUUGGCAACAGCUUCUUGCUUCAAAAUUCACUAGUAUGGAAACCAUUGUCAAGGAAAGUGAGAAGAAGAAACAAGCAUUAGAAAAAAAUGUGAGUUCAUUUUGCAGUCGGAUUCAAGAUUUUGUCGGCAAACAUAAAGAAAGAAUAGAAGCACUUGAACACACAUCUGACGGUUUUGAUGAAACACUUCACGAAGUACAGAAAUAUGUUGACAGCGUAAGAGCGACCACAGAAUGCAUAACGGCAGAAAUUUAAAAAAAAGAUGACGAUCAUAUUCCGAAGAAUAUUCGAGGUAUGCUUAUUUUCUUAAUCGUCAUGAAACCUCAUUGUAAAUAAUAUGAUUUUUUUCUGUCAUGAAUUAUCUCAAUAUCAUAACACCGACAAUUUUGACCAAAUGCAAUCAUCAUUUAUCGUGUUUAAUUUGUGAACUGUAUACUGCAUAUUCUGUUCUACAGACUAACUAGCUUUUUUCCUUUUAUACAAACAGAAGGAAGCUAUAGAAGCAUCAUUGAUUUUCAUGCGCGCCUUUAUAAAUAGGAUAUACUAUGUAGAUUUAUCGUUGAAAAUGAUCAAUUUCUAUAAUACCAAAAAAAAAAAUAGAAUUACUGGGACAGUAAGUUGAUAUUCCACACAUUUGUUAUACAGAUGAUUGAGCAGCAAUAUAUAUUAUAGUGAAAUACGGUGUUACGUAGACGUUAACUAAGCGUCUUUUUUUAAAACUGUCACUCGCCUAAAUUUUACAUGAAUUUUCAAAUUGUGUAUGCGAGCGCCCUUGUUGUUUCUGGUUCUUUUCGAGUGGUUGAAGUCUUAUAAAUAUGAUAUGUUGCGAUUGUUUCUACCGAAAUGUUAAUACAUUAUACUUUGAAUUUCUUAGGUUUUCGGAAGCGGUAUAGAUGUUCCUGUGCUCGUUUAAAAUUUUCCCGUCCUGUGUGUCCCACAUAUCGUAUACCACACUUUGGCCUUGUUCAAGUAACCAGAUAAACGAGGCUUUGGGUUUUUCAUUUAAUGGCACAGGAAAAGUAAAGCAAAACAGCUCUCCAGUUCACUGUUGACCGAACAGUAUUAUUAGAAGAGAAAAAAAUAUAUUUGCUAUAUCUUUGUAAAGCUCUGAGAUAGAUUUUGGACUGUCAUCUUUCUUUCCACAAAGGACUUUUGUUAAAUUUUUGAGGCAAUUGUUUGGCAAAAGGCAUAGUCAUUUAUAUGAAUAAAAUAAACAUGAUGUCACAAACGAGUUCUUAUUUUUUUUUUGGAGAUUUCUGAUUUUUCUUGUUAUCUAUUCUGAUGGCUUUAACUCCUUCUAUUAUAUGUUUUCUAAAAAACCUUACUAAUUCAUCAACUUUAAGCACUGUUACGUUGUUAUCUUCCCCAAACGGAAGUUCUUGUAAAUUUUUACUAUCAUUAGCAUUUGAUGAUCUGAAACAAAAACACAUUUUUCCUUGAGUUAUAGGGAAUCGUGAACAGUAAAGAGCUUGAUAUAUCUAAAAGUCAAAUGUCACUUGUUGAAAACUGUAUUUUGACAUUAAAAUUGUAGUUUAUUUUGUGUAUAUUUUUUCUCAUGUUAUAUAUCAACGUUUCUACAAAUAUCAACCCCCCCUGGGAUUGCUUUGAGCGCAGAGGGUCUAGGUUCCAAUCCCUAGUCGAGUCAAAAUUUGUAUAUGAAGCUAUUAGUGACGUCUUUGCUUAGCAUGAUGCACUUAUAUAAUUUUGAGAAAGAGAAAAUACUUCGUGUCUUAUUUCAGAAUAAUAUGUCUGGGUAGAGUGGUACGUAUUCCUGUGGACUAUUACCUUGUGAAAUAGUUCGUUAAAAAUUUGGCUCAGUCAAAUAGUUUUGUACAAGAUUGGAUUCAUAUUCAUAUCACAUUAUCAUGUUUUUGUUUUAUUUUAUCAUGAAAGGACCACAAAGUCUAUUAUUUUAUUUUAU